RNAcentral lists this ribosomal RNA (497 nucleotides) under uncultured bacterium. RNAcentral describes it as "partial 16S ribosomal RNA". It matches the Rfam family "Bacterial small subunit ribosomal RNA", at positions 28 to 507 of the family's 1533-position model. The record is from RNAcentral.
GAUGAACGCUGGCGGCGUGCCUAAUACAUGCAAGUCGAGCGAACGGACGAGAAGCUUGCUUUUCUGAUGUUAGCGGCGGACGGGUGAGUAACACGUGGAUAACCUACCUAUAAGACUGGGAUAACUUCGGGAAACCGGAGCUAAUACCGGAUAAUAGUUUGAACCGCAUGGUUCAAAAGUGAAAGACGGUCUUGCUGUCACUUAUAGAUGGAUCCGCGCUGCAUUAGCUAGUUGGUAAGGUAACGGCUUACCAAGGCAACGAUGCAUAGCCGACCUGAGAGGGUGAUCGGCCACACUGGAACUGAGACACGGUCCAGACUCCUACGGGAGGCAGCAGUAGGGAAUCUUCCGCAAUGGGCGAAAGCCUGACGGAGCAACGCCGCGUGAGUGAUGAAGGUCUUCGGAUCGUAAAACUCUGUUAUUAGGGAAGAACAUAUGUGUAAGUAACUGUGCACAUCUUGACGGUACCUAAUCAGAAAGCCACGGCUAACUACGUG